Non-coding RNA from Podarcis lilfordi (Lilford's wall lizard), 69 nucleotides. Lineage: Eukaryota; Metazoa; Chordata; Lepidosauria; Squamata; Lacertidae. The record is from the annotation of a GenBank genome assembly.
GCUGUAGAUCAAUGGUAGAGCAUCUUCACUGCAUGCAGAAGGUCCCAGGUUCAAUUCACGGCAUGUCCA